RNAcentral lists this long non-coding RNA (342 nucleotides) under Elaeis guineensis (African oil palm). Its description in RNAcentral is "long non-coding RNA (EGUI_LNC062829)". Lineage: Eukaryota; Viridiplantae; Streptophyta; Magnoliopsida; Arecales; Arecaceae. The record is from RNAcentral.
AUUGCUCCAUGCCAACCGUCGUUGCUGGAGGAGGGAGAUGAGGCUGGAAAACUGGAGGUGAGGCCGGAGACUGAGAUCUGGCCGUGAAGGCCGUGGAUCGCCGCGUGGAUGCCUUGCGGGGAGGCAUCGGGCGAAAAUCUAGUGGGGGAAGGAGGAGUGGACGUCGGAAAAGAUGACUGGAGGCGGUCCCGUUGAGCGCUCCAUUAAGAACAAGGGUAUUGCGAAGACACAGCCCCCUUCCUCUAGCGCCAAUCCUGUUGGUGCAAAAAUCUGCCUGCGUCAGAGAAACUGGAGUCGAGGGAGUCGCGAUCACCGUCGGAACCUGCAAAAGAAGUCUAAACC